ACUGCGAGGCAGGCAGUGAUGCUGCGGCCGCUUCGCACUGUGGCUCCUGCCGACCGCCAGGCGCUGUUACAGUGGAUGCGAACUAACCCAUUAUAUCGUACUGCAGAAACCAGCUCAACUAUGCAAAACUACCACCAGGACUGGCCGACACCAGGAGGGAUUCCAGAGACCACACUGCAGGGAGCAUACAGAAAGAAAAUUAAGAGAUCAGAUGCAGCAGCAGCCGGAACCCACAGUUCACCUUGGUGCAUUCCUUUAUGAUGAAGACUUAUUGAUUCAUUAUAUGAGAAAGGAAAAAUGAGCAGAAACUACUGUAUGAUGUGCAGCUCACACCAGACAGCAACUUUAGCACAUGUGCCUCACUCUUCAUGGUAAAUGUUUUACUGAAGAAUAACAUACAGAAAAGUGGACAAGUCUUAACUGCACAGCUCAAUGAAUUUCCAUGAAGUAAAUAUACCCAUAUGAUAAUCCAGCUCAAGAAACAGAAAAUCACUACCACCCCAGAAGACUGCCUUAUACUACCAUCUUUUAAGAGUGAAUCACACAUGGGGUACUCCUUGUAUCUGGCCUCUUUCUUUUUUUCUUUCUUUUUAAUUAUUAUUUUUGUUUGAGAUGGAGUCUCAUUCUGUCACCCAGGCUAGAGUGCAGUGUCAUGAUCUCGGCUCACUGUAACCUCUGCCUCCCGGGUUCAAGCAAUUCUCCUGCCUCAGCCUCCUGAGUAGCUGGGACUACAGGCACCCGCCACCACGCCCAGCUGAUUUUUGUAUUUUUGGUAGAGACAGGGUUUCGCCAUGUUGGCCAGGCUGGUCUCGAACUUCUGUCCUCAGGUGAUCCACCCACCUCGGCCUCCCAAAGUGCUGGGAUUACAGGCGUGAGCCACUGCACCCGGCCUGUUUCCAGCCUUUGUUCAACAUUAUGUUUGUGAAGUUAAUCUGUGUUGUUUUAUGUAAUUAUAGUUCACUCAUUCUUUCAUGGGCUUAAAUCUUUUUACAAUAAAAUUUUAAGAGAAUAAAAUUGUAAAAAAAAAAAGCUCAUGACAUGCAAUAAACUGUAUAAUUUGAUGCGUUUUGACAUGUAUACACCCAUAUCAGUACCACAGUCAAGAUCAUGAAUACAUCUAUUUCCUCAAAAUAGUCCAUGAAUUUUUUUUUUUGAGACAGAAUCUCGCUCUGUCGCCCAGGCUGUAGUGCAGCGCGCGAUCUCGGUUCACUGCAACCUCAGUCUCCCGGGUUCAAGCAAUUCUCCUGCCUCAGCCUCCCGAGUAGCUGGGACUACAGACGCGUGCAACC
This 1289-nucleotide long non-coding RNA is filed under the name Homo sapiens (human). Its description in RNAcentral is "non-protein coding lnc-BAZ1A-4:10". The record is from RNAcentral. Lineage: Eukaryota; Metazoa; Chordata; Mammalia; Primates; Hominidae.